Molecule: long non-coding RNA, 820 nt
Organism: Gadus morhua (Atlantic cod)
Lineage: Eukaryota; Metazoa; Chordata; Actinopteri; Gadiformes; Gadidae
Exons: 6
Source: RefSeq, a predicted model, not a curated record
CACGGACAUAAUAAAGGCGACGAGCCUUCUUUCCCAUUAAACGCUCGGAUCCAGCUUUUCACUCAUUUAGAAAAAGCGUUCCCUGUCGAGGUAAGAGGGCUGAAACUGAAGGGAAGUUUGACUUCGCCGUUGACCGGGGGGACACCUUCACCGAUGUGUUCGCCAGGCAUCCAGAUGGUCGCGACGGGCCCUCAAACUCCUCUCUCGGGACCAGAAUUACAAGGAGGCUCCCACAGAGGGGAUUCGCAGAGUAUUGGAGGAGUGCUGGCUAGGGCUCUCCUUGAGAAGGCUGAGCCUCUCCUGGACGGAGAGAUCCUCCUCAUUAGUUUCUCCGAUGGGUACCGUCAGGCGGCAGCCAUUGCAAUUAAGCAGCUGGACAAGAUUGGCGAGACCUUCCACUUUGAUCCCAACAACAGGGAACCACUCACCCAGACUGCCACGACCGCCCUGGGAUCCAAAGUGUUCUGAAAUACACAAAAAUCGCUAUCCUCACCUGCCCGUUUGAGCGCCUAAUGCCCAAGACCAAGCAUAUCUACAGAGCACUUCAGAAGUACGAGAAGAUCAAGCAGGUGAAGGAUAAUGGCGCCACCUUGUGCUAUCUGUCAGUGGGGCUUUGAUGACGAGGCGAACCAUCUGCUACUGCAGAAUGAGCUGCAGGGCGCUGUGUCGGAGGGCCUGAGAUUGAGCUCAUUGCCAUCGCCAGCGGAGGGCGUAUCGCUCUGCGUUUCAGUGAGCUGACGACCGAGAAGCUUGGCGUGGCCGGUGUGGUGAUCUGCUUCGGCACCACCAAGGACCGCAUGCUGGUGAUCGAGGAGUGCAG